This 61-nucleotide transfer RNA is filed under the name Ixodes uriae (common seabird tick). The record is from RNAcentral. Lineage: Eukaryota; Metazoa; Arthropoda; Arachnida; Ixodida; Ixodidae.
AAAAUAAAGCGAUCAUAUUGCAAUCAGUUUCGACCUGAGCCUAGAAAAUAUUUCUAUUUUU